This 72-nucleotide transfer RNA is filed under the name Chelonia mydas (Green sea turtle). It matches the Rfam family "tRNA". Rfam says of the family: Transfer RNA (tRNA) molecules are approximately 80 nucleotides in length. Their secondary structure includes four short double-helical elements and three loops (D, anti-codon, and T loops). Lineage: Eukaryota; Metazoa; Chordata; Testudines; Cheloniidae. The record is from Rfam by way of RNAcentral.
GGCAGGGUGGUCCAGUGGUUAGGGCACUAUCCUAGGACUUGAGACACCUGGGUUCAGUUCCCUGCUUUGCCA